GAGUUUGAUUCUGGCUCACGAUGAACGCUAGCGGGAGGCCUAAUACAUGCAAGUCGAGGGGCAGCAGUUCGGCUGGCGACCGGCGCACGGGUGAGUAACGCGUACGCAAUCUACCUUCAAGAGAGGGAUAGCCCUGGGAAACUGGGAUUAAUACCUCAUAGUAUUAUUGAAUCACCUGGUUUGAUAAUUAAAGUUUCGGCACUUGGAGAUGAGCGUGCGUACUAUUAGUUAGUUGGUGAGGUAACGGCUCACCAAGACAGCGAUAGUUAGGGGGCGUGAGAGCGUGAUCCCCCACACGGGUACUGAGACACGGACCCGACUCCUACGGGAGGCAGCAGUAAGGAAUAUUGGACAAUGGGCGCAAGCCUGAUCCAGCCAUCCCGCGUGCAGGAUGACGGCCCUAUGGGUUGUAAACUGCUUUUAUUUGGGAAGAAACGAAUUCAUUUAUGAGUUCCUGACGGUACCUUAUGAAUAAGCACCGGCUAACUCCGUGCCAGCAGCCGCGGUAAUACGGAGGGUGCAAGCGUUAUCCGGAAUCACUGGGUUUAAAGGGUGCGUAUGCGGCUUUAUAAGUCAGAAGUGAAAGGCUGUAGCUUAACUAUGGAAUUGCUUUUGAUACUGUAAGGCUUGAAUUGGGUUGAGGUUAGCGGAAUGA
Molecule: ribosomal RNA, 655 nt
Filed under: uncultured Bacteroidota bacterium
Lineage: Bacteria; Pseudomonadati; Bacteroidota
Description: bacterial SSU rRNA
Rfam family: Bacterial small subunit ribosomal RNA
Source: RNAcentral